UCAGGAGGGGUAACCCUUCUGAGGGGAGAGCGGCGAACGGGUGAGUAACACGUGGGCAACCUGCCCCGGACACCGGGAUAACCCAGGGAAACCUGAGCUAAUACCGGAUACUCCGGCGUGAUCGCAUGGUCGCGCCGGGAAAGCUCCGACGGUCCGGGAUGGGCCCGCGGCCUAUCAGCUUGUUGGUGGGGUAACGGCCCACCAAGGCGACGACGGGUAGCUGGUCUGAGAGGACGGCCAGCCACACUGGGACUGAGACACGGCCCAGACUCCUACGGGAGGCAGCAGUGGGGGAUCUUGCGCUAAUGCGCGAAAGCGUGACGCAGUGACGCCGCGUGGGGGAUGAAGGCCUUCGGG
Molecule: ribosomal RNA, 357 nt
Filed under: uncultured bacterium
Lineage: Bacteria
Description: bacterial SSU rRNA
Rfam family: Bacterial small subunit ribosomal RNA
Source: RNAcentral